CGCCCCGGCCCACAGCCUAGACGCGGAAUAAAUGAAUAAAACGUUCGCAAUCCGCGUGGGGAAGGGAGUGGGUGACUCCAGUGCCAGUCGGCCGCGUGCCACCCUCCCCCGCCCCCCCACCGCCGGCGCUGGGAUAGGGAUUCCGGGCAGUUGGGAAUUUAUGUUUGGGAACGAAGGUGAGAGGUGCCGGGUCCGCCCACGAGGGCAACAGCCUCUCUCUGAGAACCCAGGAAGGGCUGAGUAAACGUGCAGGCGCUCAGCUUCCUCUCCCCAUCGUCGCGCACAAAAAGAAUGGGCCUUGAAAAGGAUGAGUUUAUUAUGCCACUUUUAAAUGACUAUUCAGAAAAGAUCAGGAGGCACAAUAAAAAAAUGUUUCCCACCCUGCCAAUUCCCUUCCCUUAAAGAAGGAAAAAGGAAAAAAAAAGAGAAAGCAACCCACAAAGGGCCAACCCAAGGGGCUAAGAAAACCUCUGAGAGCUGUUAUGCCCAAAUACAUUGCGUGCGGGAGUUUGUGAAAGCAACUUUGCAGAGUGCAAACCUUAGAAGAUGAAAAUACUCCGAAAAUCACACAAUCCUCUUCCAACCGAGGCGCCGCACUUUUCCAGCCCUCUAGGAUAAAGUUGUCUCAGGAAAAUAAAACUGUUGAUAAACCAUG
This is a long non-coding RNA of Neofelis nebulosa (Clouded leopard), 655 nucleotides long. RefSeq lists it as uncharacterized. The transcript is spliced from 2 exons. The record is from RefSeq and is a predicted model, not a curated record. NCBI's taxonomy places the organism in Eukaryota, Metazoa, Chordata, Mammalia, Carnivora, Felidae.